UUUUUAUGUAUGUUACAUCAGAACUUUUGACCAGGUAGACCGAUUUAGACAAAUUUUGUUUUAAUCGAAAGGUGGUGUGUGCCGAUUGGUCCCAUUUAAAUUUAUUUGAGAUCUAACAACUACUUUUCGAAUUAUAUCUAAUAAUGCGUUUUACUUGACGCUUUUUUCGUCGACCUACGUUGUAUUAUACCACAUAACUUUCUACUGGGUGUACCGAUUUUGAUAAUUCUUUUUUUGUUGGAAAGGGGAUAUCCUUAGUUUGGUACCAUGAUAAGGAAACCAGGAUCUGAUGAUGGGAUCCCAGAGAAAUCGAGAGAAACUCUUGAAAAUCCGCAAUAACUUUUUACUGGGUUUUGUCAUGUAGUCACAUAUAAAUUUUAUGGAGAUCUGAUAACUACUUUUUGAGUAAUCUUUGAU
Molecule: unclassified non-coding RNA, 417 nt
Filed under: Melitaea cinxia (Glanville fritillary)
Lineage: Eukaryota; Metazoa; Arthropoda; Insecta; Lepidoptera; Nymphalidae
Description: misc RNA ENSMCXG00005001689.1
Source: RNAcentral